CCGCGCUAGAUGGGGAGAUAGCGGUGCCCUGUACCCGCAAUCCGCUAUAGCGGGGUUGAAUUCCUGUCCCCGGUUGUUCAGUUUUGGGGUCAGCGCCUGGUAAGUGGUGUUGAGGGCUCGGUCCCGUGCGGCGCAGACUCAUGAACCCCGUCAGGUCCGGAAGGGAGCAGCGGUAAGUGAGAAUAUGCGGGUGCCACGGGAGUGCCGGGCUGGAGCUAACUGCCCGGUCAGCGCCUGGAAUUGACGGUCAAAGGCAGGUGCGCGG
Molecule: signal recognition particle RNA, 265 nt
Filed under: Bacillota bacterium
Lineage: Bacteria; Bacillati; Bacillota
Description: signal recognition particle sRNA large type
Rfam family: Bacterial large signal recognition particle RNA
About the family: The signal recognition particle (SRP) is a universally conserved ribonucleoprotein involved in the co-translational targeting of proteins to membranes. Archaeal SRP consists of a 7S RNA and homologues of the eukaryotic SRP19 and SRP54 proteins.
Source: RNAcentral